Long non-coding RNA from Anguilla rostrata (American eel), 437 nucleotides. RefSeq lists it as uncharacterized. The record is from RefSeq and is a predicted model, not a curated record. Lineage: Eukaryota; Metazoa; Chordata; Actinopteri; Anguilliformes; Anguillidae. The transcript has 4 exons.
ACACUCGAUUAUUUUGGUCUUUAGUGUUCUAGGCGCCAACUUUCAAGCUGUCCGGGUCUUGGUUUUUCAAGAACGGCUACUCCUGGCAAAUAAUGUCUGAAAUUAAUAUUCGUGAGAAUCUCCGCGCGGCCGAAAUUAAAGAACUGAAACAGCUGCAGCAGGAACUUCUGGCGUUACGAAGAGUACGGUCAUCUCUGCACGCAUUUGAGCGUAUGGUGGGGUGUUUAAGCCAGAAUGUUCAACUGGCCAUUAAGAAUGGAGAUACGUUAGCAGAUCUUAACCAAGGCUGGAACGUUUUCUUCACUGGGAAAAAAUGACCAGUGAAUUCACUACCACAAGACCUCCACCCAUAUACAGUAUUUCAAGAAACAAAGAAUGCAGUGAAUCUUCUUACAAGCUUAUUUAUAUUAAAACAUGAAAAUACGCAAUUCAUCAUA